Molecule: long non-coding RNA, 544 nt
Organism: Magnolia sinica
Lineage: Eukaryota; Viridiplantae; Streptophyta; Magnoliopsida; Magnoliales; Magnoliaceae
Exons: 3
Source: RefSeq, a predicted model, not a curated record
ACACUCUCUCACCUCUUUUACCGAAUCCCUACUCUCCCAAACCCUUCUCCAACACUCGACGCUCUCAAACCCUUAUCUCCCAAAACCCUUCUCUCCUCCUUGCAAAAACCAACCGACCCUCUCUCUCUCUCUCUUUGUUUAUUGAGGUUUGGUGGUGUUUUCGUAGGGUGUAUGGCAAUGCAGAUGGGAAAAUAACAAGAGAGGAAGUGCAAGAGGUGAGGAUUUUUCUUCUCUUCUUCCAUAUGCAGCCAUGGCGAGUGCUUUUACGAACAAGCUAUUGAAGUCGAAAGAACAAGCAGAAGAAUACCCCUUUUUGAUCAUGGAAGAACUCAACCCUAAAAAUUUUGGCUACAUCACGGUACACCGUGCUUCCAAUCAUAGCCCAAAUCAUCAAGGACAUGCCUCAACAAUUGAAAGUGAGGCUUCUAGAGGAAGUGGGAGAGCAUGAUAGAGAACAGAUAUUGUUUGGUGCAACAACAUAAAGGAUGACAACUAUUGAGGAAAUAGUGGGCAUGUAUGUGUUGUGUGGUAAGAAGAUAAGAAC